RNAcentral lists this long non-coding RNA (202 nucleotides) under Brassica rapa (field mustard). RNAcentral's name for it is "long non-coding RNA (BRAP_LNC002317)". The record is from RNAcentral. Lineage: Eukaryota; Viridiplantae; Streptophyta; Magnoliopsida; Brassicales; Brassicaceae.
CCAACAAUAGUAAUAAAUAUAUUAAUAAAAUACGAGACGCUUGUACAUUUUUUUUAAUACAUACUAGCAUUUUAGGGGCAAUAUGUCUUGGUAACAUGUAAAGUGUCGAAUUGAUCAAAUGGAAAAUCUACUAUACAAAAAUAAACCAGAUGAAACAAUCCUUUGUCAUUGACGAUUCUUCUCUACUAUGACUCUUUUCUUC